RNAcentral lists this ribosomal RNA (1965 nucleotides) under Jenningsia sp. RNAcentral's name for it is "partial small subunit ribosomal RNA". It matches the Rfam family "Eukaryotic small subunit ribosomal RNA", at positions 64 to 1241 of the family's 1831-position model. Lineage: Eukaryota; Euglenozoa; Peranemea; Peranemida; Peranemidae. The record is from RNAcentral.
CACUAAUGUUUUUAUGAGAAUUUAGAAAGAAAAAGUUGAUCUGCGAAUGGCUCUGUAGUACAGUUGUUAUUCUCGCAUUUAUGCGGGUUGUCGUUUUGAUUUAUGAAUCUGAGCAACGCUUUUUUGAGUACGAUUAAAUAGAAAGCAUACCGACAAAAGGAGAUAUCCUGCCCAACUGGCUUGUCAAUACAACAAUGAGGAAUGAAAAAAGCUUAUAUUUAAAAAAGAGACCUUUCCACAAAAAAGCUUUUGAAAUGUGAACAGUCGAGAAAAUUCUGUCUUUGUUCUAUUUAAUUUCCAUUUGGAUUAUUUUGGACAGAUAGAAAGAUUACAAAGCUCUGACCUUGAACAAAAAUAAACCAGUGUUGAUAAUACAAAAUUGAUCAACAGAAAAACGUUUUGAUAUGAAAGACAGGCCAUUGAUUCUUACAAAAAGCGAUAGCAUUACAAAAAAAGCAAAGAUGCAGAAACAACUGCCCUAUCAGGCUGUUGAUGGUAAUGUAGUGGACUACCAUGGCUAACACGGGUAACGAGAAAUCAGGGUUUGAUUUCGGAGAGGCAGCCUGAGAAACGGCUACCACCGCUAAGGCGGGCAGCAGGCACGCAAAUUGCCCACUACAAACCAAUCGAAAGUGAGGCAGCGACGAGACGAAGCAUCAUCGCCAUCCAAAAAGUGAUGUGUGAUGUAUGCAAUGGAUGUUUAUCCAAACCACCAAUGAGGAUCAACUGGAGGGCCAGUCUGGUGCCAGCAGCCGCGGUAAUUCCAGCUCCAGUAGCGUAUACCAAUGUUGUUGCCGUUAAAGCGCUCGUAGUCGAUUGAAUAUUUGUACAAGGCUCUGAUGUAUUUUUUUAAAUACACAGAUUUUUUAAAAGCCGAAUAAAAGCAAGUUCUUGCUUUAUUUGACCUUUUCUUGUACAAAAAUACAAACUCCUAUCUUCGAAAUGUCAUUAGAUUGCUUUGCGAGAAAGAAAAAAAACAGUAUUGGGAAAUUCUAACAAAAAAGGACACAAAAACAAAAAGAAAAACAGUGACGUCUGCUUUGAAACCAGAGACUCUAAUUUACCUUUUUUACACUGUAAGUUGAAACAAAAAGAUUAUCUUGCAAAAUCUUAAAAGAUACGGAACCCUGAACAAACCAGUGAGAUUUAAGCAGACCACAAAAAACAACAGUUUUUUUGAAAAGGAAAAGAUGCUAUGGAAAAAAGUUAUCACAUUUUCUAUGUUCAAAAAAGAAAAGUAACAGACCGAAAUCAAUAUUCUCAUGAAAAAAGAGAUUAUUGUCAAGAAACAAAAAAGUGUCUUGUAUGAUAUAGCAGGGAAUUCCAGAGGAUCAACUGGCACCCAUGUCUUUUACUGGUAAAAGCUUUUUCUAUUCACGAAAAAGAAAAAGAAAACCAAGAGAGAAACGAUUGGGCAAAAUAUUAUGAGACACAACGUAUCAUUUUUUUUUUAGCCAGACAAAAAAGCUGAUAACUUUUUGACCAUUUAUUAUGAACGCACCCACCAAAAAAGUUCAAAAGUUUCAGAAAAUGUCAACGAUGGGAUUCUCUCGGGGUGAUGAGUAUUGUAGUGCGAGAGGUGAAAUUUUUAGACCACUGCGGGACUAACUGUAGGGAAGGCGCAUCCCCAGAGAGUUUCCGCCGAUCAAGAACGAAAGCGCGGGGAUGGAAGAUGAUCAGAUCCCGUCGUAUUCCGCGCUGUAAACUAUACUUGCUGGGUUCUGGUGUUGGGAUUCAUAUAUUCAAAAUUUCCAAAAACGAAAGAGACCCCCAAAUGAUUUUUUUGCUGACUGCAUGAGUUCCACACCCCGCAACGAGAAAUCCAAAGCUUUUGGGUUCGGGGGGGAGUACGUCCACAAGGCUCAAACUUAAAGGAAUUGACGGAAUGACACCACAAGGCGUGGGGUAUGCGGCUCAAUUUGACUCAACACGGGAAAGCUCAUUAGGUCCAGACGCUGAAGGAUG